Molecule: long non-coding RNA, 1118 nt
Organism: Quercus lobata
Lineage: Eukaryota; Viridiplantae; Streptophyta; Magnoliopsida; Fagales; Fagaceae
Exons: 5
Source: RefSeq, a predicted model, not a curated record
CCUAGUCUCUACAUUUCACUUCAGCCGCCUCACGCCCUCACCCUCAUUCUUUUCUUUUCUUCUCUACACAGACGCUUAGAUCCAAUUGCCUCAUCCUUGCCGCCGAUCCAAAUAAAAAAACAGUCCAACAAUGUAAAUAUAUAUAUUGAAAAAGCUGAAGCAUUUGAGAAUGAGAGUCCAGAGGAAGAUGCGGUUGAGUUUGGAGCGAACGAGAACGAAGGAGCGGUUGUUGAAGCUGAAGAAGAAGAAGAAGAACCGGCGAAGAGAUUUGAAGAGGCGGAGCAGAAUGGGGAUGAGGUUGAACUCGUUGUGGAUAGGGAUGUGGCGAACGGGGAUAGAGAUGGAGUUGAUCCAAACAGGGGGGAAGUGGUGGUGGCGCCGGUGGUUGAAGAUCCGAAGAUAGGUGAAGCGGCGGAAGGAAUGUCAAUUUUGGUAUGAAGGACAACGGGACAUGCUGUACAAUCAGACAUUCAAUCUUGAUCAAGUUUCCUUUGCUGCCGAGGGUAUUAAAGAUGCUCAGCAAACAAUAGCUCCAAUUUAUUUGGCAUCAUGCAUAAAGCAGGGAAUGGGUUUGCUAGAGAUUUUAUUGAGCAAGCAACCUGUUCAAAAUAAUCAAGUACUGCUUAAGGCUCACAUUAGGAGUCAACUGGUGUAGUGGAGUCAACUGAUUUUCCAUAGAAGUUAUUUGACUGUUUUUGGUGGGGACUACGAAAUCUGGCACUUUUCUUCAAUUACAACACCUUGUUGGGACCACCUUAUCGGGUUUUGGUAGAUACCAACUUCAUCAAUUUCUCUAUCCAGAAUAAACUGGACUUGAGAAGGGAAUGAUGGACUGCCUAUAUGCAAAAUGUGAGUUUAGAAUCACUGGUUUCUUCAAUUUAAUGUGAAUAUUAAUUUGCUGCAAGAAUUGUUGUGCCGUGUUGAUGAGGUAUCCUAAGUUCAACAUAGUUGUUAAUGUGGUUUUAUAACAAGCAUUGAGUGCCAUGUAUCAUUGGCAAACACUUAAAUAUGUGUUGGUUGCUUAAUGAUAUUUAUCAAAAUAUUACUCUUGGUUCUGUGGAUGUCCAUAAGAAUGCUUAAGGAAUAAAAUGAGGAUCUUUUUUUAAAUUAUGAUUUUA